AUUGAGCGCUGGCGGCAGGCCUAACACAUGCAAGUCGAACGGUAACAGGAAGCAGCUUGCUGCUUCGCUGACGAGUGGCGGACGGGUGAGUAAUGUCUGGGAAACUGCCUGAUGGAGGGGGAUAACUACUGGAAACGGUAGCUAAUACCGCAUAACGUCGCAAGACCAAAGAGGGGGACCUUAGGGCCUCUUGCCAUCGGAUGUGCCCAGAUGGGAUUAGCUAGUAGGUGGGGUAACGGCUCACCUAGGCGACGAUCCCUAGCUGGUCUGAGAGGAUGACCAGCCACACUGGAACUGAGACACGGUCCAGACUCCUACGGGAGGCAGCAGUGGGGAAUAUUGCACAAUGGGCGCAAGCCUGAUGCAGCCAUGCCGCGUGUAUGAAGAAGGCCUUCGGGUUGUAAAGUACUUUCAGCGGGGAGGAAGGGAGUAAAGUUAAUACCUUUGCUCAUUGACGUUACCCGCAGAAGAAGCACCGGCUAACUCCGUG
RNAcentral lists this ribosomal RNA (490 nucleotides) under uncultured bacterium. Its description in RNAcentral is "partial 16S ribosomal RNA". It matches the Rfam family "Bacterial small subunit ribosomal RNA", at positions 30 to 507 of the family's 1533-position model. The record is from RNAcentral.